ACUCUAGAAUAGGGAGUAAUUUGGGUAGC
This 29-nucleotide non-coding RNA is filed under the name Mus musculus (house mouse). Lineage: Eukaryota; Metazoa; Chordata; Mammalia; Rodentia; Muridae. The record is from RNAcentral.